GUGGAAUAACAUUCAACCUUUCACCAUUCUUCACCACACCUUCCCUACCUCUAGCCCAUAGUCUUCCUCUACCUUUUUGAGCCAUUUCAAUACAAACAAUUAACUCCAAACAAGUAAAUCAACCCCAAAGAACCUAGACCCAACUAUGACAUUAGCUCUGCUUGUAUCAUAGAGGAUUUGGUAACUUAUCAGGCAUCAGCCUCGUGUUUAUAUUCCUCCCGCUUCUUUGUUGACUCCCCCAACCCACCAAAUACCCACA
This is a long non-coding RNA of Rhododendron vialii, 259 nucleotides long. RefSeq lists it as uncharacterized. NCBI's taxonomy places the organism in Eukaryota, Viridiplantae, Streptophyta, Magnoliopsida, Ericales, Ericaceae. The transcript is spliced from 2 exons. The record is from RefSeq and is a predicted model, not a curated record.